ACGGGAGGCAGCAGUGGGGGAUAUUGCACAAUGGGCGCAAGCCUGAUGCAGCGAUGCCGCGUGAGGGAAGAAGGUUUUCGGAUUGUAAACCUCUGUUAACAGGGACGAAAAUGACGGUACAUGUGAAGGAAGCUCCGGCUAAAUACGUGCCAGAAGCCGCGGUAAUACGUAGGGAGCAAGCGUUAUCCGGAAUUACUGGGUGUAAAGGGAGUGUAGGCGGGACUGUAAGUCAGAUGUGAAAUAUGCCGGCUCAACUUGCAGACUGCAUUUGAAACUGCGGUUCUUGAGUGAAGUAGAGGUAAGCGGAAUUCCUAGUGUAGCGGUGAAAUGCGUAGAUAUUAGGAGGAACACCAGUGGCGAAGGCGGCUUACUGGGCUUUAACUGACGCUGAGGCUCGAAAGCGUGGGGAGCAAACAGGAUUAGAUACCCUGGUA
RNAcentral lists this ribosomal RNA (434 nucleotides) under uncultured Ruminococcus sp. Its description in RNAcentral is "bacterial SSU rRNA". It matches the Rfam family "Bacterial small subunit ribosomal RNA", at positions 341 to 792 of the family's 1533-position model. The record is from RNAcentral. Lineage: Bacteria; Bacillati; Bacillota; Clostridia; Eubacteriales; Oscillospiraceae.